RNAcentral lists this transfer RNA (71 nucleotides) under Nephrurus vertebralis. Its description in RNAcentral is "tRNA-Gln". Lineage: Eukaryota; Metazoa; Chordata; Lepidosauria; Squamata; Carphodactylidae. The record is from RNAcentral.
UAGAAGAUAGUAUAAGUGGUAGUACUUAAAGUUUUGGGCUUUGGUGUAUAGGUUCGUGACCUAUUCUUCUA